GACGAACGCUGGCGGCGUGCUUAACACAUGCAAGUCGAGCGGUAAGGCCCUUUCGGGGGUACACGAGCGGCGAACGGGUGAGUAACACGUGGGUGACCUGCCCUCAGCUCUGGGAUAAGCCUGGGAAACUGGGUCUAAUACUGGAUAUGACUCCACGGUGCAUGUCGUGGGGUGAAAGCCUUGUGCGGCUGAGGAUGGGCCCGCGGCCUAUCAGCUUGUUGGUGGGGUGANGGCCUACCAAGGCGACGACGGGUAGCCGGCCUGAGAGGCGACCGGCCACACUGGGACUGAGACACGGCCCAGACUCCUACGGGAGGCAGCAGUGGGGAAUCUUGCGCAAUGGGCGAAAGCCUGACGCAGCGACGCCGCGUGAGGGAUGACGGCCU
RNAcentral lists this ribosomal RNA (386 nucleotides) under uncultured bacterium. RNAcentral's name for it is "bacterial SSU rRNA". It matches the Rfam family "Bacterial small subunit ribosomal RNA", at positions 28 to 417 of the family's 1533-position model. The record is from RNAcentral.